CAAAUCCUCCGGCUGUGUGUGCCCUCCCUGGACUGCCGCUCCAUCCCCGCCUGUCUCGCUCGUGUGUGCGCGUGGCUGGGAGCGCUCCCUAGGUGCAGCCAGGAAUGAGACAGCCGUGGGGCAGGGGACAGCCCAGCCUGGAGGGGUGACACAAGGUGGGGGAUACCCCACACAUCUGCAGGGCUGCGAGUUGCUUUGAGACAGGGCUCUUUUGUGCCUCCACCUUGUCCCUGUCAUGCCAUGCAUGGAAGUUGGGAGCGAUCCCCCCUCCAGAAGCAGGUUUGGAUGGCUUUCUGCAACUGUGAACCAGAGAAGUCUGUAUUCAAAGCCCCAGACGAGUGAAGCUUGACACUUGAGAGAAGGCGAAGUCUUUCGCAAUGAAUCCAUGGCAGCUUCGAUGGAGCCGUGAGCUGGAGCACCUACCUACGGGCCACUCCUUGAUGUGACUGAAAAGAGGCCUUUUCCAGCACUCUGAAAGGAGAGUGGGGCCGUGGAUUUACCUCCUGCGCACCCGGGCCCCCAGAGUACAUGCACUGCGAGGUGCAUUUUUCCCUACCACCAGCAGACAAAGAAGGGAAGAAGCAAAUUAAGUGGUCACCACUGAACUGCUCGUUUAUCAACCAUCUGAAUGGCUGUUUGUUGCUGCAGACCGUAUAGCCAGAGACAGAGGUAAGAGUGUGUGGGCAGACUGGGUCGGUACACCACAGUUCCACUCUGCAGCAGCUGUACAACUGUGGA
Molecule: long non-coding RNA, 738 nt
Filed under: Struthio camelus australis
Lineage: Eukaryota; Metazoa; Chordata; Aves; Struthioniformes; Struthionidae
Description: lncRNA (ENSSCUG00000000441.1)
Source: RNAcentral